This 249-nucleotide long non-coding RNA is filed under the name Brassica napus (rape). RNAcentral's name for it is "long non-coding RNA (BNAP_LNC020547)". The record is from RNAcentral. Lineage: Eukaryota; Viridiplantae; Streptophyta; Magnoliopsida; Brassicales; Brassicaceae.
CAGUUAGAGAGAGAAAAAUCCUCCGACCUCUCCCUACAAAAGAUUUUUGGAAAAGAUAUCGGACCGGCAUGUGGUUUCUCUGUACCACCGUCGAUCGGGAAAUGGUUUCCCUUCCGAUGUGAUUUAUGUUCGUUUCUUCUGGUUCCGGGAUGGAGAGGAUUCUAUAGCUCCGCCACCUCCGGCUUAUGACUCUGAGGUGUGGAGGCCCUUUGCCUUACACCGCCGGAUUUCUAGGAUCUACGAAACAGA